CCUACGGGAGGCAGCAGUGGGGAAUAUUGGACAAUGGGCGGAAGCCUGAUCCAGCAACGCCGCGUGAGGGAUGACGGCCUUCGGGUUGUAAACCUCUUUCAGUACCGACGAAGCGCAAGUGACGGUAGGUACAGAAGAAGGACCGGCCAACUACGUGCCAGCAGCCGCGGUAAUACGUAGGGUCCGAGCGUUGUCCGGAAUUAUUGGGCGUAAAGGGCUCGUAGGCGGUUUGUCGCGUCGGGAGUGAAAACACCGGGCUUAACUCGGUGCUUGCUUCCGAUACGGGCAGACUAGAGGUAUGCAGGGGAGAAUGGAAUUCCUGGUGUAGCGGUGAAAUGCGCAGAUAUCAGGAGGAACACCGGUGGCGAAGGCGGUUCUCUGGGCAUUACCUGACGCUGAGGAGCGAAAGUGUGGGGAGCGAACAGGAUUAGAUACCCUUG
Molecule: ribosomal RNA, 440 nt
Filed under: uncultured bacterium
Lineage: Bacteria
Description: bacterial SSU rRNA
Rfam family: Bacterial small subunit ribosomal RNA
Source: RNAcentral